This 429-nucleotide ribosomal RNA is filed under the name bacterium. Its description in RNAcentral is "partial 16S ribosomal RNA". It matches the Rfam family "Bacterial small subunit ribosomal RNA", at positions 355 to 776 of the family's 1533-position model. The record is from RNAcentral.
UAGGGAAUCUUCCACAAUGGACGCAAGUCUGAUGGAGCAACGCCGCGUGAGUGAAGAAGGUUUUCGGAUCGUAAAGCUCUGUUGUUGGUGAAGAAGGAUAGAGGCAGUAACUGGUCUUUAUUUGACGGUAAUCAACCAGAAAGUCACGGCUAACUACGUGCCAGCAGCCGCGGUAAUACGUAGGUGGCAAGCGUUGUCCGGCUUUAUUGGGCGUAAAGCGAGCGCAGGCGGAAUGAUAAGUCUGAUGCGAAAGCCCACGGCUCAACCGUGGAACUGCAUCGGAAACUGUCAUUCUUGAGUGCAGAAGAGGAGAGUGGAAUUCCAUGUGUAGCGGUGGAAUGCGUAGAUAUAUGGAAGAACACCAGUGGCGAAGGCGGCUCUCUGGUCUGCAACUGACGCUGAGGCUCGAAAGCAUGGGUAGCGAACAGG